AUCCCUGUAGCUCAGUUGGUAGAGCAUGGUGUUUGCAACACCAGGGUUGUGGGUUCGAUUCCCACGGGGGGCC
Salmo salar (Atlantic salmon) is the source of this 73-nucleotide non-coding RNA. The record is from Rfam. Lineage: Eukaryota; Metazoa; Chordata; Actinopteri; Salmoniformes; Salmonidae.